AUGGCCGCGGCCGCCACGGGGCGGGUCAACGAACGGGAUGGAAGGAGCGCUGGCAGGGCAGGGGAGGAAGUGCCCCGUGCGCUACGGCCGUCGCGGUCGUCCAGCACGACGCACAAGCAGCUGAGGGACGGCAGUGACUGGGGUGACGGCGAGGCAUGGUGGACCGCGAGGCGGGAGAGGAGGUGGCACCGGUGGAGGAGGACGACGCGGGCGGCGAUGGUGUUGCAGGCGUCCAGGAGCGCGACGCCGGUGUCGAGGUGCGCGGCGACGGCGACGGUGUCCUUCCCGUCCCAGGGCCCAGCGGCGAGCGCGGGCACGGCGUCCGCAAGGGUGGCCGCGAGGAGACCGGCCAGUCGCGCGAGAAGGCCGGCCAGGCGCGCGAGGAGGAAGGUGACCCCGAUCCAGAUCCUCGCCGGGGAGUAG
This 423-nucleotide ribosomal RNA is filed under the name Triticum aestivum (bread wheat). RNAcentral describes it as "partial small subunit ribosomal RNA". The record is from RNAcentral. Lineage: Eukaryota; Viridiplantae; Streptophyta; Magnoliopsida; Poales; Poaceae.